UAGUUAGUGUUGGUAUUCACUUCCUUCUCGAACACCAUGCAAUAAACAUCGCAAGCGUUAGGGAUUGUCGAUUUAUCUGUGCGAAUAUGCGCAAACUUGGGCGAACCAUCUGGCGCAUACGAACACAUUCUACUAUCGAAAUGACCGGGACGUGGGUCAGAACCUCUACUGCAGACCGGGUGGUGCUGUCACCUGCGAUGUUGCCGGUCAG
RNAcentral lists this unclassified non-coding RNA (211 nucleotides) under Neodiprion lecontei (redheaded pine sawfly). RNAcentral's name for it is "repressed by EFG1 protein 1, transcript variant X1". Lineage: Eukaryota; Metazoa; Arthropoda; Insecta; Hymenoptera; Diprionidae. The record is from RNAcentral.